This 1000-nucleotide ribosomal RNA is filed under the name uncultured bacterium. RNAcentral's name for it is "bacterial SSU rRNA". It matches the Rfam family "Bacterial small subunit ribosomal RNA", at positions 355 to 1375 of the family's 1533-position model. The record is from RNAcentral.
UGGGGAAUAUUGCACAAUGGGGGAAACCCUGAUGCAGCGACGCCGCGUGAAGGAUGAAGUAUUUCGGUAUGUAAACUUCUAUCAGCAGGGAAGAAAAUGACGGUACCUGACUAAGAAGCCCCGGCUAACUACGUGCCAGCAGCCGCGGUAAUACGUAGGGAGCAAGCGUUAUCCGGAUUUACUGGGUGUAAAGGGCGCGCAGGCGGGGCGGUAAGUUGGAAGUGAAAUCUAUGGGCUUAACCCAUAAACUGCUUUCAAAACUGCUGGUCUUGAGUGAUGGAGAGGCAGGCGGAAUUCCGUGUGUAGCGGUGAAAUGCGUAGAGAUCGGGAGGAACACCAGUGGCGAAGGCGGCCUACUGGGCUUUAACUGACGCUGAGGCACGAAAGCAUGGGUAGCAAACAGGAUUAGAUACCCUGGUAGUCCAUGCCGUAAACGAUGAUUACUAGGUGUGGGGGGUCUGACCCCCUCCGUGUCGGAGUUAACACAAUAAGUAAUCCACCUGGGGAGUACGGCCGCAAGGUUGAAACUCAAAGGAAUUGACGGGGGCCCGCACAAGCAGUGGAGUAUGUGGUUUAAUUCGAAGCAACGCGAAGAACCUUACCAGGUCUUGACAUCCGACUAACGAAGUAGAGAUACAUUAGGUGCCCUUUUUGGGAAAGUCGAGACAGGUGGUGCAUGGUUGUCGUCAGCUCGUGUCGUGAGAUGUUGGGUUAAGUCCCGCAACGAGCGCAACCCUUGUCAUUAGUUGCUACGUAAGAGCACUCUAAUGAGACUGCCGUUGACAAAACGGAGGAAGGUGGGGACGACGUCAAAUCAUCAUGCCCCUUAUGACCUGGGCUACACACGUACUACAAUGGCCGUUAACAGAGGGAAGCAAUACCGUGAGGUGGAGCCAAACCCUAAAAACGGUCCCAGUUCGGAUUGUAGGCUGAAACUCGCCUACAUGAAGUUGGAAUUGCUAGUAAUCGCGGAUCAGCAUGCCGCGGUGAAUACGUUCCC